RNAcentral lists this long non-coding RNA (908 nucleotides) under Jatropha curcas. RNAcentral describes it as "long non-coding RNA (JCUR_LNC001730)". The record is from RNAcentral. Lineage: Eukaryota; Viridiplantae; Streptophyta; Magnoliopsida; Malpighiales; Euphorbiaceae.
AGCUAGCUAUCCAUUCAAAUUAAAUUGUUGUAUCUGUUAACUUUUAACAAAUGGAGUCCACAAACACUGAAUCAGCGCUGACUAAGCAUUGCAACUCAUAUAAAGAAAUUAAAAAACAUAGAGAACAAGCAAAAGCACAAAGCUGUAAUUAUCAAUAGCGAAAAGCAAAAGCCGUUUUCACUGUCUUCUUCUCCACUGCCGGCACCGGGACUGGCGUUAGCACCUCAACCGCCUCCUUUACCUUCUUAUCUACCACCAUUAUCGGAUCCUAAUUUACAAAUUAAAAAUAAAUAAACUUUUAAAUACUUAGAUUUACAAAACAAAAUAACAAAAACAAUUAAAGCUUUCUUCUUUUUCUUUUAGUCGAACCAGAACCAAAUAAAUAUAAUAUCCUUAAUUAAUUUUUAUCAGUCCGAUUCAUUCGAUUCUCAUCAUCGGGAUCAAAUGCUUAAGCUAUGGGUGAAUGCUUGCAAGUGAAGGAGAAACAAGAAUGGGAAGAGAAAUUGGGAUUUCCAAACCAAAAAAAAAAAAAAAAAGAAAAAAAAAGGAGAUAAAAGAGAAACUCAACAAUUUGUAGCUUUUGUUGUAGUUUCCAGUGAAUUGCCUUUUAUGGUUUGUGAUCAAGAGACGAAGACAGGAUGCUGAGAGCAAGGGAGGAGAUGAGGAAACUGCAUUAGCUUCCCUUUGAUGAAAACAACCAAUUGACUGUGUCUCAAAUGGUUGGUUGGCCGGAAAGUUCCUUUUGUUGACGGAGAUGGCAUCUUUUCCCCUUUUUGUGUUUGAGUCUGAUGCUAAUAGUAAUAAAAAUAAUAAAAAUCUACCCUAAUUAAAAUAAUAAAAAUCAGGUUUUUUUCCUUUUUUAAAUCCACGUGUAUAUCCCACGUUGUAAAAAGACUACUACUUAUAAG